RNAcentral lists this ribosomal RNA (538 nucleotides) under uncultured bacterium. Its description in RNAcentral is "bacterial SSU rRNA". It matches the Rfam family "Bacterial small subunit ribosomal RNA", at positions 777 to 1308 of the family's 1533-position model. The record is from RNAcentral.
AAUAGAUACCCCGGUAGUCCACGCCGUAAACGGUGGGCACUAGGUGUGGGCGACAUUCCACGUCGUCCGUGCCGCAGCUAACGCAUUAAGUGCCCCGCCUGGGGAGUACGGCCGCAAGGCUAAAACUCGAAGGAAUUGACGGGGGCCCGCACAAGCGGCGGAGCAUGUGGCUUAAUUCGACGCAACGCGAAGAACCUUACCAAGGCUUGACAUACACCGGAAACGUCCAGAGAUGGGCGCCCCCUUGUGGUCGGUGUACAGGUGGUGCAUGGCUGUCGUCAGCUCGUGUCGUGAGAUGUUGGGUUAAGUCCCGCAACGAGCGCAACCCUUGUCCCGUGUUGCCAGCAGGCCCUUGUGGUGCUGGGGACUCACGGGAGACCGCCGGGGUCAACUCGGAGGAAGGUGGGGACGACGUCAAGUCAUCAUGCCCCUUACGUCUUGGGCUGCACACGUGCUACAAUGGCCGGUACAAUGAGCUGCGAUACCGCGAGGUGGAGCGAAUCUCAAAAAGCCGGUCUCAGUUCGGAUUGGGGUCUGC